Molecule: long non-coding RNA, 764 nt
Organism: Esox lucius (northern pike)
Lineage: Eukaryota; Metazoa; Chordata; Actinopteri; Esociformes; Esocidae
Exons: 3
Source: RefSeq, a predicted model, not a curated record
AAUUACAUAAUGUUUGACUGUAAUAUAUCUUCCAAAUUUAUAGCUUCUAUUAUUUUAUAAAUUGCAUUUCUAUUAGUAUUUGUCAUCAAUCUAUUUGAAUAUAAUAUAGAAAUGAUCUCUUCGAAUAACUAUAGAAUGUGACUGCAGAGACGUUCAGUCAGUGAAGAGUUAAAGCCCAAAAGGAAAUCCCGCCUAUUACGAGGUUCUGAAAUGCGAUUACACCAUCGCUAUGAACACAGUCAGUCAGAGGCUUGUGUCCAGAAGACUUAUACAUAUGCGAAACUGUGCCCUCCAAGAAAUAGGAUUUUCUGGAACAUACUCCGGAUUUUAACAACAUUGCAGUGGACACCCAGUUAUGGACAGGACACCCAGUUGUAGUUCAGUGUGAAGCCGUUCGGGAUUACUGGACGAUGGCGACUCUUUGGAAUAUUUGCUGGAAGAAAGUAAUACGAACUCCAAUAAACAAGGGGGAAAGACAUCUCAAAAGAACCUGUCUCAUUUGAGCGCAUCAUCAUCUUACAUCUCACUUACAAAACCUCCAGGACCUCCGAGAGGAUGCCAACGAUUCCAGACCGGAACCACGGAAUAUAAGGCUGUUGAAAGCAAUAUUCCCUCAUGCACAAGAUUCAGUCUCAUUGAGUACACCCUAUUUGCAGUAUAUAAUAGAUCUCCAUUGUUAAUGUGAAUUAACAUAAUAUCUGCAAUUUUUAAAUGCAAGUAACCAAAAUAAAUGUAACUAUGCCACAGUAUUUUAUUUUACUUUC